Molecule: non-coding RNA, 84 nt
Organism: Termitomyces sp. T32_za158
Lineage: Eukaryota; Fungi; Basidiomycota; Agaricomycetes; Agaricales; Lyophyllaceae
Source: the annotation of a GenBank genome assembly
AGCAGCAUGGCGCAGUUGGAAGCGCGCGGGGCCCAUAUUACAUGUGUUACCCCGAGGUCACUUGAUCGAAACAAGUUGCUGCUA